UACGGGGGGGGCAAGCGUUGUUCGGAAUUACUGGGCGUAAAGGGCUCGUAGGUGGCCAACUAAGUCGGACGUGAAAUCCCUCAGCUUAACUGGGGAACUGCGUCCGAUACUGGAUGGCUUGAGUUUGGGAGAGGGAUGCGGAAUUCCAGGUGUAGCGGUGAAAUGCGUAGAUAUCGUAAGGAAGACCAGUGGCGAAGGCGGGUCUCUGGACAGUUCCUGACGCUGAGGCACGAAGGCCAGGGGAGCAAACGGG
RNAcentral lists this ribosomal RNA (253 nucleotides) under uncultured bacterium. Its description in RNAcentral is "partial 16S ribosomal RNA". It matches the Rfam family "Bacterial small subunit ribosomal RNA", at positions 524 to 776 of the family's 1533-position model. The record is from RNAcentral.